AUGCAAGUCGAACGCAGUAGCAAUACUGAGUGGCAAACGGGUGAGUAUAAUGUGGGAAUCUGCCUUUUGGUUUGGAAUAACACGGGGAAACUUGUGCUAAUACCGAAUAAGCCCUUACGGGGAAAGUUUUAACGCCGAAAGAUGAGCCUGCACUUGAUUAGCUAGUUGGUAAGGUAAAAGCUUACCAAGGCGACGAUCAAUAGCUGUUCUUAGAGGAAGACCAGCCACAUUGGGACUGAGACACGGCCCAGACUCCUACGGGAGGCAGCAGUGGGGAAUCUUGCACAAUGGGGGAAACCCUGAUGCAGCGAUGCCGCGUGAGUGAAGAAGGCCUUUGUGUUGUAAAACUCUUUCGUCGGGGAAGAAAAUGACUGUACCCGAAUAAGAAGGUCCGGCUAACUUCGUGCCAGCAGCCGCGGUAAUACGAAGGGACCUAGCGUAGUUCGGAAUUACUGGGCUUAAAGAGCUCGUAGGUGGUUAAAAAAGUUGAUGGUGAAAUCCCAAGGCUCAACCUUGGAACUGCCAUCAAAACUUUUUAGCUAGAGUGUGAUAGAGGUAAGUGGAAUUUCUAGUGUAGAGGUGAAAUUUGUAGAUAUUAGAAAGAACACCAAAUGCGAAGGCAACUUACUGGGUCACUACUGACACUGAGGAGCGAAAGCAUGGGUAGCGAAGCGGAUUAGAUACCCUCGUAGUCCAUGCCGUAAACGAUGUGUGCUAGACGUUGGAAAUAUAUUUUUCAGUGUCGCAGCGAAAGCAUUAAGCACACCGCCUGGGGAGUACGACCGCAAGGUUAAAACUCAAAUGAAUUGACGGG
This 814-nucleotide ribosomal RNA is filed under the name uncultured marine bacterium. RNAcentral's name for it is "bacterial SSU rRNA". It matches the Rfam family "Bacterial small subunit ribosomal RNA", at positions 55 to 917 of the family's 1533-position model. The record is from RNAcentral.